This 543-nucleotide ribosomal RNA is filed under the name uncultured bacterium. Its description in RNAcentral is "bacterial SSU rRNA". It matches the Rfam family "Bacterial small subunit ribosomal RNA", at positions 8 to 524 of the family's 1533-position model. The record is from RNAcentral.
AGGGUUUGAUUAUGGCUCAGGAUGAACGCUGGCGGCAUGCCUAAUACAUGCAAGUCGAACGGACUACACCAUGAACUUGAAGAGCUUGCUCGGAUUGGAAUUGGAUUCUGUAGUCAGUGGCGGACGGGUGAGUAACACGUGGGUUACCUGCCACACAGUAUGGAAUAACUAUUGGAAACGAUAGCUAAUACCGUAUAUGACCUUCGGGUUGAAAGGAGCGUUUGCUUCGCUGUGUGAUGGGCCUGCGGCGCAUUAGCUAGUUGGUACGGUAAAGGCGUACCAAGGCGACGAUGCGUAGCCGGAGUGAGAGCUCGAUCGGCCACAUUGGGACUGAGACACGGCCCAAACUUCUACGGGAGGCAGCAGUAGGGAAUUUUCCGCAAUGGACGAAAGUCUGACGGAGCAAUGCCGCGUGAGUGAUGAAGGUUUUCGAAUCGUAAAGCUCUGUUGUAAGGGAAGAAUAGCAAGAAUAGGAAAUGAUUCUUGUCUGACGGUACCUUACCAGAAAGCCACGGCUAACUACGUGCCAGCAGCCGCGGUAAU